CAUCCUAUAGUCAAAUAUUACUUUUUUUCUAAUGUCUUUUUACUAAGCUUGCAUUAGUACGUGUACUAGGUGUGCACCUGGGUAAGUUACUAAGCUAAUUUAUCCUCCACGUGCCCUCCCUUUCUCUAAAUCUCUCUCUCUCUCCUGUACUAUUUUGCACUGGAGUACUAGUACUUCUCAACCGAAGAAAAUACAGACUGGUACUAGUCCAAGUCCAACAAGAACACACGUACAAGACUCCUCUCCCUCCUAUCCCUCUGCUCCUAAUCCAGCCAUAUCGGCCAUGCCGCCGGCGAUAGGGAAGCUGCCGCUGCUGGAUCCACAACUCUGCUUCUUCCCUAGUGUUAAUCCCCAAUUUUCCUCCAUGGAUUUCUAUCACAAACUCUCUAAUCCCCCCUGUGUGUUUUAUUUUCUUGACUUGCAGGUCAAACCCUAUUGGGGAUGUGAUUCCCCCGCUCCAGAUCGAAGUCGCCGGUGUUGGGCGCCGCCGUGAUGCUGGAUGGUGCAGGUCAGAGCUCCAGUGCGUGGCCAUGGAGCGGAUCAAACAUUUGUGCAGGGGAAUGCUAGUGCUGCUGGGAAGAAGAGAGCUUGGUCUGGCUAUUUUGGGUAGAGCUGAGACGAGUGAAACUUGGCAGUUGCCUACUCUGCUCUCCUAGCCAUCUAAUAUCUGAUAUCCACCUCCCUUGGCGGAACCGAAUGGUCCUUGUCCUGAGCUUGCGGUCUUCAACUUCUAAGAUCUUCAAUGGUCGUUCUUCAUACGUCAGGGUCUUUUGGAGAUGGGUGAUGCCCCAGGCAUUAAAACAAUGCUGAACUCUAACUCCCUAUCAGGUGGCAUACCCGGCAGUUCAUCCGAAAAUACAUCAGGAAACUCACAAACUACAGGUCUGCUGAAAAUUUGGUGUUGUGGAUUAUUAUUGGUUGAUUUCUGCGCAUGGCCUCUACUGUAAUCUUCCCUCCAGGUCAAACCCUAUUGGGGAUGUGAUUCCCCCGCUCCAGAUCGAAGUCGCCGGUGUUGGGCGCCGCCGUGAUGCUGGAUGGUGCAGGUCAGAGCUCCAGUGCGUGGCCAUGGAGCGGAUCGAACAUUUGUGCAGGGGAAUGCUAGUGUUGCUGGGAAGAAGAGAGCUUGGUCUGGCUAUUUUGGGUAGAGCUGAGACGAGUGAAACUUGGCAGUUGCCUACUCUGCUCUCCUAGUCAUCUAAUAUCUGAUAUCCACCUCCCUUGGCGGGUAUGGCUGCCCAUCCCCUUCUCCAUUGUUCUCACAGGUGCUAGCUUCUAAUUGGCUGAAGGUUGAAGCCCAUACAUAGACUAUACUGUUGACCAACUGACUAUUAAUAUGGUGCACGUGAGGGUGGUGGUCCAUGUGUCUUGCUGUUCUGGUUGACCCAGAGAUAUUUUUGUGUUGGUCCAACUGUAUAGCUUAGCAUAGCAUGGUCUCCCUAUAUUUUUUCCAAAGAUUUGUAAUACACUUUUACAGCUAUACUAUCUGAGUUUUAUGAAUAUAAAUAUAUAUACUUGAGUGGUUAUGAUGCUUGUUGUAUAAA
Triticum aestivum (bread wheat) is the source of this 1541-nucleotide long non-coding RNA. RefSeq lists it as uncharacterized. NCBI's taxonomy places the organism in Eukaryota, Viridiplantae, Streptophyta, Magnoliopsida, Poales, Poaceae. The transcript has 7 exons. The record is from RefSeq and is a predicted model, not a curated record.